RNAcentral lists this unclassified non-coding RNA (254 nucleotides) under Hevea brasiliensis (rubber tree). The record is from RNAcentral. Lineage: Eukaryota; Viridiplantae; Streptophyta; Magnoliopsida; Malpighiales; Euphorbiaceae.
GACGCGGCUGAUCAUGCCGAACGGUCGCUCAAUCGUGCUGGAACGGCAACAGGGGGCGGACGCAGGCGGAUAUUCCGGUCUCGAGGAUGGGGUCGACAAUCACUGGGCCGAGUUGUUCAAGGCUGCGCUCCUCUCGACCAUCCUUGGCGUGGGAGCGGAGCUUGGCUCUGGUACAAACACUGGCAGCAACACGGAUAUUAUUCAGGCUUUGCGUUUGGGCGCGGCUAAUUCACUAAACCAAACUGGACAACAGG